GCUCCCCAGGAGCGCCCUGGCAGGGAGCUCUGUGUGUCAGUCUGUCUGUCUGUCUGUCUGUCUGUCUGUUCAGCGCUGCCCCGGCAGGGAGCUCUGUCUGUCUGUCUGUGUCUGUCUGUGUCUGUCUGUCUGUUCAGUGAUGCCCUGGCAGCAAGCUGUGUCUGUGUGUCUGUCAGUCUGUGUGUCUGUCAGUCUGUGUGUCUGUCAGUCUGUGUGUCUGUCAGUCUGUGUGUCAGUCUGUCUGUGUCUGUCUGUCUGUUCAGCGCUGCCCCUGCUGUCAUUGCAGGCACGGAGCUUUCUCCUGGAGCCUCUGUCUGUCUGUCUGUCUGUCUGUUCAGUGAUGCCCUGGCAGGGAGCUGUGUCUGUCUGUGUGUCUGUCAGUCUGUCUGUGUCUGUCUGUCUGCUCAGCGUGCCCCUGCUGUCGUUGCAGGCGCGGAGCUUUCUCCGGGAGCCUGUCUGUGUGUGUGUGUGUGUGUGUCUGUCUGUCUGUCUGUCUGUCCGCUCAGCGCUGCCCCGCUGUCGUUGCAGGCGCGGAGCUUUCUCCGGGAGCGUGUGUCAGUCUGGCUGUCAGUCUGUGUGUCAGUCUGUCUGUGUGUCUGUCUGUCAGUCUGUGUGUCUGUGUGUCUGUCUGUCUGUGUGUCUGUCUGUCCGCUCAGCGCUGCCCUGCUCUCGUUGCAGGCGCGGAGCUUUCUCCGGGAGCCUCUGUCUGUCAGUCUGUCUGUCUGUGUGUCUGUCUGUCAGUCUGUGUCUGUCAGUCUGUGUGUCUGUGUGUCAGUCUGUCUGUCUGUCUGUCCAUUCAGCAUGCCCCCGCUCUCGUUGCAGGCGCGGAGCUUUCUCCGGGAGCCUGUGUCUGUCUGUGUGUCUGUCUGUGUGUCAGUCUGUCUGUCUGUC
RNAcentral lists this long non-coding RNA (891 nucleotides) under Zonotrichia albicollis (white-throated sparrow). RNAcentral's name for it is "lncRNA (ENSZALG00000001787.1)". Lineage: Eukaryota; Metazoa; Chordata; Aves; Passeriformes; Passerellidae. The record is from RNAcentral.